AGCCUGCUUCCUCUUCGGUUUCACGGAGCGCUGUCUCCAUUUUCGUUUCGCCGGGGUCUACAUGACCUGUGACAACAUAAAAAGCUCAAUAGAAUCGAGGCCUGCAUUUGUCUUUCGAUAGGUGCAAAAGGUUAUGUAUCAGAGAUAAAUCAGAGAUAAAUAUCACGAAAAUACAAGACACGGACAAACGACAAACGUGAUACAAACCUUUCGGCGGUGUCCAAUGAUGCUGGCCGUACGAAGUUUGCAAUAACAGGUACUCGAUGACCCCCUGAAUUCGACGGAAAAUAACAAAUCCGCAAGCUUGACGUGCCAUCCUAUCUUCGAUGCAGUUAACUUGCGACUAACGCAAUUAGAGCGGGGCGGGGAUAGGUCUAUGAUAUAUGUGUGAAAAAGAAAUAACUGACCACUCCAAUUGAUAAUUAGAUCUUAUCGAUUCUUUGAGGUUCUUCCACAUAUUUCGAAACAUGAUAUAAGAAGAGCGGAUAGAUAGCGCUAGUGUGACGUUGGGUGCGGAAUAACUGCUGUCAUUCAACGCAGGACAUUGAUCAUAUCCUCUCAUUUUGUUACUAGGGAAAAACUACCUUGUCAUAUCUAUAAUUUCUUUAGAAAACCUGAUAUAUUGUAGCUCUCAAGAUAGUAUACAAGUUCCGGAUUUAUACAAACACAAAAAUUUAAUCUAGUAUUAUACUUCUUAUUUGUACACAAAUAUUUUGCUUCUCUCAUCUUUCAUAUUAUAUCAUACAUAUUCCCAACUAUAGAUAGCAAACAUAAGAUAGCAAAUUUUUGUAUCAAAGAUUUGUAGACCUAGGUGUCUAAAGUUGUUUUUUUUAAUAAAAAAAAAGGUGGAUAAAUAAUAGCAAUGCAUCUAUGCACUUGAAAGCAACAAUGCAAUAGCGAAGCAGUGGAUCUAGCGAGACAUACUUCUUACGCGAGUAUGGGCCCAGAAUGUAUUCACACUGUUUUAUACAAGCUUUUUAAAUUAUAAAAGAGAAAUUAAUAGACAAUAUUUGCUUCAGAUUCGUAUGCAUGGAAUGUAUCGAUUCCUGAUCGCCAAUGGUGGGAAUAAAAAAUAUUUAUUUCGA
Molecule: long non-coding RNA, 1085 nt
Organism: Megalopta genalis
Lineage: Eukaryota; Metazoa; Arthropoda; Insecta; Hymenoptera; Halictidae
Source: RefSeq, a predicted model, not a curated record